Molecule: long non-coding RNA, 1247 nt
Filed under: Chloebia gouldiae (Gouldian finch)
Lineage: Eukaryota; Metazoa; Chordata; Aves; Passeriformes; Passeridae
Description: Erythrura gouldiae (Gouldian finch) lncRNA (ENSEGOG00005006741.1)
Source: RNAcentral
GUGAGAUCAGGGCAGAUCCUUACUCGUUCGUCUCCUAACCAGCUCAGUCAGACACCCGAGGCCGUGAGACCGGAAUGCUCUGACCUCAAUACAGCCAGGCACUGUCCCUCCAAGCCCGGUCCUCGCCUCACUCCACCUCUUUGCUUUGCUCCGUUUCAGCUGUGCAUCCUUAAGUGAUUCAGGGGCUCCGGGCCAAAGGGCUCUUUGCCCCGCUGGGCUGAUUCUGAAGAGAAACGGUGAUGUGCCAGGAGGUCUGGGAGGCGAAUGUCAUUUCAUCACUGUUCUCCCGGGAGAGUAAUGUCCGUAGCCAGACAUAUGCUCAUGGCCUGGAAUGAAGUCGACUGCAAUUACAUCCUAAGGGAGUCACUCAACGGGGGUUUUGUGGAGGCAGGACACAGGCUCUGGUGGAGCUGCACAUGUGCUGUUAGAGCUCCAACUGCACUCACUCUGCCUUCAGCUUUGUGGGAACAAGGAGCAGCAGGCUCACAAAUACAGCCAGUCUGGUGCACAUCUGGAGGCAGUAAUUGGAGUGCCUGUCUCUGUGCUAGAUGAGAGCCUGUGGGGAGUUCAGGGAGUGCAGGUCUGGGCCGUGUAUCACCCUGUCACCAGGACCAAGCUGUGAGAGGUCAGUACAUGUGCACAGCUCAGAGCAAUGCAUGCUGUGCUGGGGAAGGGGGUGGGGAAUGGCAGGUUUGAAACCCUCACUGGUAUUUUAUCUUCCGUUUAGCAUGGCUCAGGUUUGUCAACAAAACAUCAUGGUCCUGAAAUGUCAAGCCUGAGGUGGAACUGGGAAAAGAACAUCCUAGAGGUCCUGGGUUUCUGUCUAGGGCUUUGGACACAGCUUCAGUCGAAGAUUCGCCCUUCCUGAAAGGAGAGACAUGUCAAAGUGUAAUGUUUACAUCAAUUAUGUGAAGUCCAUUCAGGCCUAUUCAACCCCCUGUCUCUGCAUAACUUUUUUUUGGCAAGCAUUAACCAGUAAGGAAGGGAGUAAAUCUUGCUUGAAGUUAUUUUUCUUCCUGCUCCUGUGUCCCACCCCCAGGCGCCCCACUGCAGGUGCUACAGAGGCAAAAACCAGUGCUCCUGCAGAGACAGAUUAGCAGCACACAAAAUGAUCUCCCUCCUCCUUGUGCACCCCAGAGCCUGGAAACUCCCCCAUCUCUCCAGCCUUGCAGCCCAGCUGUCCCAAACCCCAGACAGCAGGGAUGGAUAACAGCAGGCUGCUCUGCACUGCAGCCCAGGCGAUAGAG